CCUACGGGAGGCAGCAGUAGGGAAUAUUGCUCAAUGGGGGAAACCCUGAAGCAGCAACGCCGCGUGGAGGAUGGAGGUUUUCGGAUUGUAAACUCCUUUUGUUAGAGAAGAUAAUGACGGUAUCUAACGAAUAAGCACCGGCUAACUCCGUGCCAGCAGCCGCGGUAAUACGGAGGGGGCAAGCGUUACUCGGAAUCACUGGGCGUAAAGAGCGCGUAGGCGGGAUAGCAAGGCAGAUGUGAAAUCCUAUGGCUUAACCAUAGAACUGCAUUUGAAACUGUUAUUCUAGAGUAUGGGAGAGGUAGCUGGAAUUCUUGGUGUAGGGGUAAAAUCCGUAGAGAUCAAGAGGAAUACUCAUUGCGAAGGCGACCUGCUAGAACAUAACUGACGCUGAUGCGCGAAAGCGUGGGGAGCGAACAGGAUUAGAUACCCUUGUAGUC
RNAcentral lists this ribosomal RNA (440 nucleotides) under uncultured bacterium. RNAcentral describes it as "partial 16S ribosomal RNA". It matches the Rfam family "Bacterial small subunit ribosomal RNA", at positions 338 to 795 of the family's 1533-position model. The record is from RNAcentral.